This is a long non-coding RNA of Podarcis raffonei (Aeolian wall lizard), 511 nucleotides long. RefSeq lists it as uncharacterized. The record is from RefSeq and is a predicted model, not a curated record. The transcript has 3 exons. Lineage: Eukaryota; Metazoa; Chordata; Lepidosauria; Squamata; Lacertidae.
CCGUCUCCCUCUCUCUCUUGCAAGAGCUGCCUGGGGUCUGGCCCAGCACAAGGUCUGAGGGACGGUGGACCGGCCCAUGGCUGAAAAAGGUUGCUGACCCCUGGUCUAUAGCUAUCCUUCUGGAGCCAGAGAGGAUAGUCACUUUCCAGGGCACCAUUUAAGAUGUAGAGGUUUAGCCUGAAUGCUGUUUGAGCCAAGCAGAUGCCUGCAAAGUUUGAUUUCUGAUCUUUGGAACAACGGGUGAGGAGGAAUCCACUGGCUUCACGGUUGGGAGGAGACCAUUUGUGCUGUGCAUAAAGGGCAUGAUCAUUAGGGCCCAAUCUGGCAUUGAGGUCCCCUCCUAAAACUCCAGAUGCCUUUGGGUUAAGCAAAAUAAGCGAGGAGACUGGGAGAAUCAGUGCAGUGUGGUCAGCAAAAUGUGAAUUCCAGGCAAGCAGGGCUGUCAUCUCUUCAGCAGGGGAGACUUCCUUUCACUUGUCCGAGGAGAGGAGAGGGGAACUGUUUCUCCCUG